RNAcentral lists this ribosomal RNA (366 nucleotides) under Burkholderia pseudomallei 1026a. Its description in RNAcentral is "bacterial SSU rRNA". It matches the Rfam family "Bacterial small subunit ribosomal RNA", at positions 694 to 1058 of the family's 1533-position model. The record is from RNAcentral. Lineage: Bacteria; Pseudomonadati; Pseudomonadota; Betaproteobacteria; Burkholderiales; Burkholderiaceae.
AGAUGUGGAGGAAUACCGAUGGCGAAGGCAGCCCCCUGGGCCAAUACUGACGCUCAUGCACGAAAGCGUGGGGAGCAAACAGGAUUAGAUACCCUGGUAGUCCACGCCCUAAACGAUGUCAACUAGUUGUUGGGGAUUCAUUUCCUUAGUAACGUAGCUAACGCGUGAAGUUGACCGCCUGGGGAGUACGGUCGCAAGAUUAAAACUCAAAGGAAUUGACGGGGACCCGCACAAGCGGUGGAUGAUGUGGAUUAAUUCGAUGCAACGCGAAAAACCUUACCUACCCUUGACAUGGUCGGAAGCCCGAUGAGAGUUGGGCGUGCUCGAAAGAGAACCGGCGCACAGGUGCUGCAUGGCUGUCGUCAG